CGCCAGACUCCUACGGGAGGCAGCAGUGAGGAAUAUUGGUCAAUGGCCGGAAGGCUGAACCAGCCAAGUCGCGUGAGGGAAUAAGGCCCUAUGGGUCGUAAACCUCUUUUGUCAGGGAGCAAAGGCGUCCACGUGUGGACGAGAGGAGAGUACCUGAAGAAAAAGCAUCGGCUAACUCCGUGCCAGCAGCCGCGGUAAUACGGGGGAUGCAAGCGUUGUCCGGAAUCAUUGGGCGUAAAGAGUUCGUAGGUGGCACGUUAAGUCUGGUGUUAAAUGCAGAGGCUCAACCUCUGUUCGGCACUGGAUACUGGCGAGCUUGAAUGCGGUAGAGGUAAAGGGAAUUCCUGGUGUAGCGGUGAAAUGCGUAGAUAUCAGGAGGAACAUCGGUGGCGUAAGCGCUUUACUGGGCCGUAAUUGACACUGAGGAACGAAAGCCAGGGUAGCAAAUGGGAUUAGAUACCCGUGUA
This 467-nucleotide ribosomal RNA is filed under the name uncultured bacterium. Its description in RNAcentral is "bacterial SSU rRNA". It matches the Rfam family "Bacterial small subunit ribosomal RNA", at positions 329 to 792 of the family's 1533-position model. The record is from RNAcentral.